AUUGAACGCUGGCGGCAUGCCUUACACAUGCAAGUCGAACGGUAACAGGUCUUCGGCUGCUGCCGAGUGGCGAACGGGUGAGUAAUACAUCGGAACGUGCCCGAUCGUGGGGGAUAACGAGGCGAAAGCUUUGCUAAUACCGCAUACGAUCUACGGAUGAAAGCGGGGGAUCUUCGGACCUCGCGCGGACGGAGCGGCCGAUGGCAGAUUAGGUAGUUGGUGGGAUAAAAGCUUACCAAGCCGACGAUCUGUAGCUGGUCUGAGAGGAUGAUCAGCCACACUGGGACUGAGACACGGCCCAGACUCCUACGGGAGGCAGCAGUGGGGAAUUUUGGACAAUGGGCGAAAGCCUGAUCCAGCCAUGCCGCGUGCAGGAUGAAGGCCUUUGGGUUGUAAACUGCUUUUGUACGGAACGAAAAGCCUCUUUCUAAUAAAGAGGGGUCAUGACGGUACCGUAAGAAUAAGCACCGGCUAACUACGUG
Molecule: ribosomal RNA, 482 nt
Filed under: uncultured bacterium
Lineage: Bacteria
Description: partial 16S ribosomal RNA
Rfam family: Bacterial small subunit ribosomal RNA
Source: RNAcentral